AUGGCCUGGACUCCUCUGCUCCUGUUGCUCCUCUCUCACUACCCAGGUACCCUCUCCCAACCUGUGAUGACUCAGCCAUCCUCCCUCUCUGCAUCUCUUGGAACACCUGUCAGACUCUCCUGCACCCUGAGCGGAGGCUUAAGUGUUGGUAUCCAUAUUGUAUCCUGGUUCCAGCAGAAGGCUGGAAGCCCUCCCCAGUUCCUUCUGUACCACCACACACACUCAGAUGGAUAUGAGGGUUCCAUGGCCCCCAACCGCUUCUCUGGAUCCAAAGACACCAUGGCUAAUGCAGUUUUUCUGCACAUCUCUCAGCUUCAGUCAGAGGAUGAGGCUGAUUAUUACUGCAAUACAUGGGACGGCAACACGAGGACUGACACAGUGCUAUAG
Sciurus carolinensis (gray squirrel) is the source of this 387-nucleotide non-coding RNA. The record is from the annotation of a RefSeq genome assembly. Lineage: Eukaryota; Metazoa; Chordata; Mammalia; Rodentia; Sciuridae.